Molecule: ribosomal RNA, 255 nt
Filed under: uncultured Actinomycetales bacterium
Lineage: Bacteria; Bacillati; Actinomycetota; Actinomycetes; Actinomycetales
Description: partial 16S ribosomal RNA
Rfam family: Bacterial small subunit ribosomal RNA
Source: RNAcentral
UUUUGUGGGGUGCUCGAGUGGCGAACGGGUGAGUAACACGUGAGUAACCUGCCCUUGACUUUGGGGUAACUUCAGGAAACUGGGGCUAAUACCGGAUAGGAGCUCCUGCUGCAUGGUGGGGGUUGGAAAGUUUCGGCGGUUGGGGAUGGACUCGCGGCUUAUCAGCUUGUUGGUGGGGUAGUGGCUUACCAAGGCUUUGACGGGUAGCCGGCCUGAGAGGGUGACCGGCCACAUUGGGACUGAGAUACGGCCCAG